UACGGAGGGGGCUAGCGUUGUUCGGAAUUAUUGGGCGUAAAGCGCGCGCAGGCGGUCCUUUAAGUCUGAUGUGAAAGCCCACGGCUCAACCGUGGAGGGUCAUUGGAAACUGGGGGACUUGAGUGCAGAAGAGGAGAGUGGAAUUCCACGUGUAGCGGUGAAAUGCGUAGAGAUGUGGAGGAACACCAGUGGCGAAGGCGGCUCACUGGACUGGUAUUGACGCUGAGGUGCGAAAGCGUGGGGAGCAAACAGG
RNAcentral lists this ribosomal RNA (253 nucleotides) under uncultured bacterium. RNAcentral describes it as "partial 16S ribosomal RNA". It matches the Rfam family "Bacterial small subunit ribosomal RNA", at positions 524 to 776 of the family's 1533-position model. The record is from RNAcentral.